AUUGAACGCUGGCGGCAUGCCUAACACAUGCAAGUCGAACGGCAGCACAGCAUGUAGCAAUACAUGUGGGUGGCGAGUGGCGGACGGGUGAGUAACGCGUGGGAAUCUGCCCUAUAGUGGGGGACAACCCGACGAAAGUCGGGCUAAUACCGCAUACGCCCUACGGGGAAAGGCUUCGGCCGCUAUUGGAUGAGCCCGCGUCGGAUUAGCUAGUUGGUGAGGUAAUGGCUCACCAAGGCGACGAUCCGUAGCUGGUCUGAGAGGACGAUCAGCCACACUGGGACUGAGACACGGCCCAGACUCCUACGGGAGGCAGCAGUGGGGAAUAUUGCACAAUGGGCGAAAGCCUGAUGCAGCAAUGCCGCGUGUGUGAAGAAGGCCUGCGGGUUGUAAAGCACUUUCGGUAGGGAAGGAUUAAUGACGGUACCUACCAGAAGAAGCACCGGCUAACUCCGUGCCAGCAGCCGCGGUAAU
RNAcentral lists this ribosomal RNA (474 nucleotides) under uncultured bacterium. RNAcentral describes it as "bacterial SSU rRNA". It matches the Rfam family "Bacterial small subunit ribosomal RNA", at positions 29 to 524 of the family's 1533-position model. The record is from RNAcentral.